RNAcentral lists this ribosomal RNA (422 nucleotides) under uncultured archaeon. RNAcentral's name for it is "partial 16S ribosomal RNA". It matches the Rfam family "Archaeal small subunit ribosomal RNA", at positions 323 to 746 of the family's 1478-position model. The record is from RNAcentral.
CUACGGGUUGCUCCAGGCGAGAAAACUUUGCAAUGUGCGAAAGCACGACAAGGUUAAUCCGAGUGGUUUCUGCUAAAGGAACCUUUUGACAGUCCUAGAAACACUGUUGAAUACGGGGUGGGCAAGUUCUGGUGUCAGCCGCCGCGGUAAAACCAGCACCUCAAGUGGUCAGGAUGAUUAUUGGGCCUAAAGCAUCCGUAGCCGGCUCUGUAAGUUUUCGGUUAAAUCUGUACGCUCAACGUACAGGCUGCCGGGAAUACUGCAGAGCUAGGGAGUGGGAGAGGUAGACGGUACUCGGUAGGAAGGGGUAAAAUCCUAUGAUCUAUUGAUGACCACCUGUGGCGAAGGCGGUCUACCAGAACACGUCCGACGGUGAGGGAUGAAAGCUGGGGGAGCAAACCGGAUUAGAUACCCGAGUAGUC